AAAAUGUCCUUUGUUCAUCCGGAACUUACACUUCACACUUUACAGAAACCGUCGCCGUUCCAUUUCAUGCUCGGCGCAGCAGAAGCCGUUUAAGCCGAUGACGGAGGAAAAUAUUCUCGAGGCAGUAGCUGAUUUCGACGGAGAUGAGAAAUCUGUACCUUGUUUAAGAACUUAUGAGAACGAUAUAGCUCGACUUACAUUGGU
RNAcentral lists this unclassified non-coding RNA (204 nucleotides) under Hevea brasiliensis (rubber tree). Lineage: Eukaryota; Viridiplantae; Streptophyta; Magnoliopsida; Malpighiales; Euphorbiaceae. The record is from RNAcentral.